GGCGAUUUAGCUCAGUUGGUUAGAGCGUGUGCUUAACACUGGGACCCGGGACAACCCACGGUCCAGCGUUGCGCACAAGGUCGGCGGUUCGACCCCGUCAAACGUCA
Molecule: non-coding RNA, 107 nt
Organism: Apiotrichum porosum
Lineage: Eukaryota; Fungi; Basidiomycota; Tremellomycetes; Trichosporonales; Trichosporonaceae
Source: the annotation of a RefSeq genome assembly